ACGUGAGGCCUGCAGGUCCUUGCAUGCUGGAGCCUCCAGAGUGAGUCAGGAGCUGUUGGAGUGUUUUGGUGCUCCAGCUUUACCCAGUCAGCUCAGGGAGAGCUAAAGAUGCUGCAGAUCUGAACUACCAGUGAGACUUGGGCCAUGAAGUUUGUCAUGCAGUGAACUGUGAAUGCAACUGGUGUUGGGUUUAGAGACAUGAUGUUUUACUUACUCAGCCUCUGAACUCUAAAGAAAUCUGCAGAGAGGGAAAUACCUCUGGUACUCCAGGCAUGCAGAUACAUUUCUGCUUCUGAUGGAUUUACGUUUCAGGAGAAGUGAAGAAUUGAUUCAGUGACCUGUCGCCAUGCCAACGCAUGUAUCCAUGUCCUAAAUAAACCUGAGAAGUGUUUUUAAA
Poecilia latipinna (sailfin molly) is the source of this 397-nucleotide long non-coding RNA. RefSeq lists it as uncharacterized. Lineage: Eukaryota; Metazoa; Chordata; Actinopteri; Cyprinodontiformes; Poeciliidae. The record is from RefSeq and is a predicted model, not a curated record. The transcript has 3 exons.